This is a long non-coding RNA of Mytilus trossulus (common blue mussel), 653 nucleotides long. RefSeq lists it as uncharacterized. The record is from RefSeq and is a predicted model, not a curated record. NCBI's taxonomy places the organism in Eukaryota, Metazoa, Mollusca, Bivalvia, Mytilida, Mytilidae. The transcript has 3 exons.
UAUUAUUUUAUAUUUUCAUUUUAUUUUUUGUGACAUGAUUUUGAGUGUGCUGUUUUGUCUUGUCGUGGUUCGAGUUGAUCCUGGGCCGAGUUAACCCGUAAUUUUGUAAAUUUGGAUUAUUUCCCUUUGUUAUUGGAUGUAAAAAAAUUAGAGGAAAAUGUUUACUUGGCAAGACAGGGAAAUACCUCCUAAGCAGUUGUCACACACAAAUGCUUUUAAAAGAAAUAAAUAGAUAUAGAUAGGUGUAAGAAGAUAUGGUAUGAGUGCCAAUGAGACAACUUUCCAUCAAAGUCACAAUUUGUAAAGGAAACUUUUGGAGUACGCUCAACUAGACCAGAAUUAGCAUGUCCAUCAUCUUCAGUUUUGCAACAGUUGGAAGACAGAGAAUGGAAAGUCAGCUUAAAGAAGAAUCUAGAAAUUGCCUCAAGAGCUGUGUAUCUAGAAGAAAAAUGUUCUGAAUCUUUGGCCGCUGCUGACUUUACUUCACCAGAAACACCGUUUUUAUUUCAGUUAGAGAAAACCAUGUUAGAUCUGUCAUCACCCUCCCUUACUGAUGGAGAGUUUUACUGCUCCUUCUUUAAGCUUGAUGAUGUUUACUACUGUAGAUUUUUUGAAAGUGGAGUUCUUCAGGGAUAUCUCUUAUCUGAGGGUAU